GGGAAUCUUGGGUGAGUUCCCACACUUUUUUCCCCAGGACUUGACCCCUGGUAAUAUCCCUCUUUAUUGAAUAAAGGUGCAUCUCCGGGCAGUUUGUUAGCAACUCUUGAGUGAACAAUGUUUGUGCCUGUGGUUCAAAUGCAGGAGUUUCAUUUGCUAGUAAUACAUCUUCUAAACUCUUUUGGCUUGAUUGAGAUUUUUUGGUAUUGAGAAAACAAAACUGGGUGUAAAUCUUUUUUCUCUUUUUUCUUUUUAUCUCCAUGAGGCUUUCUUGCAGCCAUAUC
This is a non-coding RNA of Pelobates cultripes (western spadefoot toad), 284 nucleotides long. The record is from the annotation of a GenBank genome assembly. NCBI's taxonomy places the organism in Eukaryota, Metazoa, Chordata, Amphibia, Anura, Pelobatidae.